AGACUUGUAGGCAGGUUCGUCGGUUGUGACUGAAUGCUCAGUGCUUCAGGCCACUUUGAUAUGUAAGGUGCUUGCAUCUGUAAUCGGAUGCGGAUCAGCUUUGAAAGACGGUCACUGAGUAUCACAUUGUGCAACUCCUCACCCGAAUCAAUCCUGUCUAUAAGUCUUUGAAGGCAAUCAUCCAUGAAAAACUCCACUAGCGCUGCCUCCUUGCGAGGAAUUG
This 223-nucleotide unclassified non-coding RNA is filed under the name Hevea brasiliensis (rubber tree). Lineage: Eukaryota; Viridiplantae; Streptophyta; Magnoliopsida; Malpighiales; Euphorbiaceae. The record is from RNAcentral.